This 483-nucleotide ribosomal RNA is filed under the name uncultured Pseudomonas sp. RNAcentral describes it as "bacterial SSU rRNA". It matches the Rfam family "Bacterial small subunit ribosomal RNA", at positions 45 to 521 of the family's 1533-position model. The record is from RNAcentral. Lineage: Bacteria; Pseudomonadati; Pseudomonadota; Gammaproteobacteria; Pseudomonadales; Pseudomonadaceae.
GGCCUAACACAUGCAAGUCGAGCGGAUGAAGGGAGCUUGCUCCUGGAUUCAGCGGCGGACGGGUGAGUAAUGCCUAGGAAUCUGCCUGGUAGUGGGGGAUAACGUCCGGAAACGGGCGCUAAUACCGCAUACGUCCUGAGGGAGAAAGUGGGGGAUCUUCGGACCUCACGCUAUCAGAUGAGCCUAGGUCGGAUUAGCUAGUUGGUGGGGUAAAGGCCUACCAAGGCGACGAUCCGUAACUGGUCUGAGAGGAUGAUCAGUCACACUGGAACUGAGACACGGUCCAGACUCCUACGGGAGGCAGCAGUGGGGAAUAUUGGACAAUGGGCGAAAGCCUGAUCCAGCCAUGCCGCGUGUGUGAAGAAGGUCUUCGGAUUGUAAAGCACUUUAAGUUGGGGAGGAAGGGCAGUAAGUUAAUACCUUGCUGUUUUUGACGUUACCAACAGAAUAAGCACCGGCUAACUUCGUGCCAGCAGCCGCGGU